GACGAACCGUGCGAACGUUGUUCGGAAUCACUGGGCUUAAAGGGCGCGUAGGCGGCAGAUCAAGUCCGGGGUGAAAGCCCCCGGCUCAACUGGGAGGGUCACGCGAUACUGAUCGACUCGAAGGCAGAGAGGGUAGUGGAAUUCCCGGUGUAGUGGUGAAAUGCGUAGAUAUCGGAGGAACACCAGUGGCGAAGGCGACUACCUGGCCUGUUCUUGACGCUGAGGCGCGAAAGCUAGGGGAGCAAACGGGG
RNAcentral lists this ribosomal RNA (251 nucleotides) under uncultured bacterium. RNAcentral's name for it is "partial 16S ribosomal RNA". It matches the Rfam family "Bacterial small subunit ribosomal RNA", at positions 524 to 777 of the family's 1533-position model. The record is from RNAcentral.